ACAACCUUAGCGUCAUUUGAGCGUGAUACUCACUCCUAAACUGCAAUCGAACUCAAUCUCAUUGUUGGUCUGCCAAAAGAACGUCAAGUUUCACCAAGUAAUUUAGUGACAUGAUUUCCACUUUCAUUCUUCAUUCAACUGGAAGCUGUUUCUCAUAUGGAAGGUACAUACCCUUAUUUCUUUUUAGUAAAUUCAAUUUGUCUUAUUGGAGGAAUUAAAUUUUUUUCUCGCUGUUUGAUUUUUUUCUCUUGCUAUUUGUGGGAGUAAUUAUUUUUAACCCACUAUUGUUUGAUUCUUUUCUCUCACUGUUUGAUUCUUUUCCUUUUCCUAUUUUCUCGUCAAUGUUUGAUGCAUAAAUAAAUAAGUAUUGCAACACCAUCACAACUAAGUUCAGAACUAUCUUCUAUUUUUGGCUUGUUAUCUAUUGAUUUAGAAGUCGCUAUUGUUUGAGACAUGAACUAAUAUUAAUGAAUGCAAUUUCUUUACUCUUUGUUUUUUUUUUUGAAAUCAUGCGCACUUCUUCUUGAAUAAGAAAAGCUAGUGCACAUGUUUCACCUUUUGUAACUCAUUAGUCAUUAACAUUAGCCACACAAAGUAACAAUUUUUCUCUCUCUUAGUCUUUGGUGCUUUACUGAAUUUUUCUCUCUCUCUCUCGAAUCACACAGUUAAUUAUACAUUAGUGUUAGAUUUUUUCUCUUUCACUCUUUGGUGCUUUACUAAAUGUUUCAGUUAUAUAUUCUUACACCCUACAUUUUUUACUCAUAGAUUACAUAAUGACAUCUCAAGAAAGUGAUAGUUGGUCAACACAGCUUGUUACAGAUUUUGAUGUAACAUCUAAUGGUCAUGAUAUUCAAGAAUUACAAAGUGAACAUUUGGGUCAUGCUGAAAAAACCAAUGACUCAACUCCUUACAAAGGACAAAUAUUUAACUCUGACGAAAAUGCAUACAAUUUUUACUAUUUAUUUGCAAAGAGAUGUGGUUUUUAAGUUAGAAGAGGUCACACUUAUAUCAGUUAGAAGAGGUCAAUUUGUCCAAUUAUAUUGAAUUCCUCACAUAGACCCAUCUGGAAUAAUUGUGGGGUUAACCAAAGCACUGACAUAGGAGUAAUUCCUAUUGGAGUUGGAUUUGAAAGUACCACAUUUCUUCUCACUUUUUCAACCAUGCCAGCUACUACCAUGGCCAAAAUAGAGAACACCAUGCCAAUUCCAAUUCUUUGGAGGAGAGUCAUACCACCUUCAUGCUUAGUGAUUUUUCUUAGUGUUGACACAAAGACCAUAUCAUAGAAUUCUUAAGACUGUGAAUGUUCCUUGUUGUGACAUGGAAGUUAGACUAAGGAUACCAGCAACCCAAAUUGGGAUAAUUAUUGCUAAGCAUUUAACCUCUUCUACUUGUUGUAUGCUAGUAAGUUUCCACUUGUUUACUCUGCUCUCAUCUGGGUUUACCUCACCCUCCGUUAUUAGAGCUGCAAAAUUUUAUUGAAAACCCCAAUAUCUAUUAAAGUAAAUUUAAAAACUCUUUAAUAAAACAUUAAGGUUAUUUUUGUCCAAAAUAUUUGGUAUUCGAUGCUAACAUGUACCUAACUAAAAAAACACAUUCCUUAGAAAACCUCACAUAUAUAAUUGAGAAGUCUUAUAAUAUCAAGGUAAGUAUAAUAUUUUUAAGAACAACUAUUAUUAUUAGUAUUAUAUUAGAUAUGGAAAAAAAUUUCUUAGAUGUAGAUGAUUAUUAUAUGAAAUAUUAAUUUCUAUUUCGGUGAUGAAGAUGACAUUUAGUUAUGCGAUAAUUAUGAUGAGGAGGAGGUUGACAUUUUUAGUAGCCAACCUCUUAGCGUAACGUAUGCUGCAUCAUUUUAGACAUUAAUUAUGAGGGUGAUUGUCAACAUGGAUUUUUAACCAAUUUAAUGAAUGAUAAUGAUUUGUUUGUCAAUAUGUAAUUUGAGUCUAAAGAAGCAAAAUAAUAGAACAAUUUCAUAUUAACAAUUCAUUUUACUACAUUAUCGUAGAGUCAAUGUUAUUUAGAUAUGUGGCCAUUGUAAACAUUUUGUUUCCGGAUGGCAAUGGUGAAUUCGUGCAUUUGUUAAUGUAAAACAUGAUAUCCACUAUUGUUUCCCAAAAUCACACCAAACUAAACUCAUCAUUCAUUUCAAAUCGUAUUACUAAUUUGGUUUUCGAAGAUCACGAUUUACCAAUUAAGGUAUUUGUCAAGGAAGUUGUAAGUCGUUUUGGCUACACGCUAACGUCGAAAAGCUUGGACUAUAAAGAAAAUAACAAUGGCCUGAAUUUAUGGUGGCGGGAAUGGAUCAUAGAAUGAGUUACCAUUUUGGAUGAACAUUGUCCAAAAUUUUGCAGUGGGUACAAUUGUCAAAUAUGAAGUGUCUCGUCACUUUGUAGAUAUAUAAAAUACCCUAGUAGUUUUAGUUUUGAUAGGAUAUUCUACGCUUUCAAACCAUGUAUUCAAGAGUUUGUAUAUUGCAAACCAAUUCUACAAGUGGAUGGGGUAUUUUGACCAAAAAAUAUACUAGAAUAUUGCUAAUACCUAGUUCAUAAGAUGGUAACAUGCGUAUAAUUACAACUGUCUUUAUCAUAAUUGAAGGAGAAAUGAAAGAAGCUUAAGAGUGACUUUUCUACGAUCUUUGGACUUAUGUUACCUCACAACCAAAUAUAUGUGUAAUAUCAUAUAGAUGUAGAGGUUUGUUGGCUGCACUUCGCAGUGAGCUGCCAAGAUGGUCUAAUACACAAUCAGUUGAUUGUAUUCGUCAUCUUACUAACAAUUUAAACAAGGAGUUUCGAGAUUCUGAUCUUAAAGAGAAAGUUAUUCAAAUGAGCAUGUAUUUAUUUAUUUUUAAUUUAAAAUAUUCAUUUAUUUGCAAAGAGAUGUGGUUUUUAAGUUAGAAGAGGUCACACUUAUAUCAGUUAGAAGAGGUCAAUUUGUCCAAUUAUAUUGAAUUCCUCACAUAGACCCAUCUGGAAUAAUUGUGGGGUUAACCAAAGCACUGACAUAGGAGUAAUUCCUAUUGGAGUUGGAUUUGAAAGUACCACAUUUCUUCUCACUUUUUCAACCAUGCCAGCUACUACCAUGGCCAAAAUAGAGAACACCAUGCCAAUUCCAAUUCUUUGGAGGAGAGUCAUACCACCUUCAUGCUUAGUGAUUUUUCUUAGUGUUGACACAAAGACCAUAUCAUAGAAUUCUUAAGACUGUGAAUGUUCCUUGUUGUGACAUGGAAGUUAGACUAAGGAUACCAGCAACCCAAAUUGGGAUAAUUAUUGCUAAGCAUUUAACCUCUUCUACUUGUUGUAUGCUAGUAAGUUUCCACUUGUUUACUCUGCUCUCAUCUGGGUUUACCUCACCCUCCGUUAUUAGAGCUGCAAAAUUUUAUUGAAAACCCCAAUAUCUAUUAAAGUAAAUUUAAAAACUCUUUAAUAAAACAUUAAGGUUAUUUUUGUCCAAAAUAUUUGGUAUUCGAUGCUAACAUGUACCUAACUAAAAAAACACAUUCCUUAGAAAACCUCACAUAUAUAAUUGAGAAGUCUUAUAAUAUCAAGGUAAGUAUAAUAUUUUUAAGAACAACUAUUAUUAUUAGUAUUAUAUUAGAUAUGGAAAAAAAUUUCUUAGAUGUAGAUGAUUAUUAUAUGAAAUAUUAAUUUCUAUUUCGGUGAUGAAGAUGACAUUUAGUUAUGCGAUAAUUAUGAUGAGGAGGAGGUUGACAUUUUUAGUAGCCAACCUCUUAGCGUAACGUAUGCUGCAUCAUUUUAGACAUUAAUUAUGAGGGUGAUUGUCAACAUGGAUUUUUAACCAAUUUAAUGAAUGAUAAUGAUUUGUUUGUCAAUAUGUAAUUUGAGUCUAAAGAAGCAAAAUAAUAGAACAAUUUCAUAUUAACAAUUCAUUUUACUACAUUAUCGUAGAGUCAAUGUUAUUUAGAUAUGUGGCCAUUGUAAACAUUUUGUUUCCGGAUGGCAAUGGUGAAUUCGUGCAUUUGUUAAUGUAAAACAUGAUAUCCACUAUUGUUUCCCAAAAUCACACCAAACUAAACUCAUCAUUCAUUUCAAAUCGUAUUACUAAUUUGGUUUUCGAAGAUCACGAUUUACCAAUUAAGGUAUUUGUCAAGGAAGUUGUAAGUCGUUUUGGCUACACGCUAACGUCGAAAAGCUUGGACUAUAAAGAAAAUAACAAUGGCCUGAAUUUAUGGUGGCGGGAAUGGAUCAUAGAAUGAGUUACCAUUUUGGAUGAACAUUGUCCAAAAUUUUGCAGUGGGUACAAUUGUCAAAUAUGAAGUGUCUCGUCACUUUGUAGAUAUAUAAAAUACCCUAGUAGUUUUAGUUUUGAUAGGAUAUUCUACGCUUUCAAACCAUGUAUUCAAGAGUUUGUAUAUUGCAAACCAAUUCUACAAGUGGAUGGGGUAUUUUGACCAAAAAAUAUACUAGAAUAUUGCUAAUACCUAGUUCAUAAGAUGGUAACAUGCGUAUAAUUACAACUGUCUUUAUCAUAAUUGAAGGAGAAAUGAAAGAAGCUUAAGAGUGACUUUUCUACGAUCUUUGGACUUAUGUUACCUCACAACCAAAUAUAUGUGUAAUAUCAUAUAGAUGUAGAGGUUUGUUGGCUGCACUUCGCAGUGAGCUGCCAAGAUGGUCUAAUACACAAUCAGUUGAUUGUAUUCGUCAUCUUACUAACAAUUUAAACAAGGAGUUUCGAGAUUCUGAUCUUAAAGAGAAAGUUAUUCAAAUGAGCAUGUAUUUAUUUAUUUUUAAUUUAAAAUAUUCUAUAUAUUUUGAAUUUUAUUGAUCAUUUAUAUUUUUUAUAGGAUAUGAGUUGAUGCGGUCACAUUUUGAGAAGAUGUCUAGUGUGUUGCAUGAAAAUAGUCUCAGGGCAGGUGGAUGGUUGGACUAAAUCCUUAAAGAAAAUGGACCCAAUCUUACAAUGAAGAGAUGCACAAUGCGUAGGAAACGAACCGGAAGACCAACCUUCAUUCUAAUCAUGUUAUGCAUAGGAAACGAAAUGGAAGACAAAAGGCUACACAAAUACAUAAUGAGAUGAAUGAAGUUCAAUCUGAACAUAUUUAAAAUAUAGAUGAUGUAGGACAUAAUGACAUAACAUGAAAACGUGUCUAUUUCGAAUAAAAAAGUGAGUGAGAGUUUUAGGCAACCCAG
RNAcentral lists this long non-coding RNA (5144 nucleotides) under Lupinus angustifolius (narrow-leaved blue lupine). RNAcentral's name for it is "long non-coding RNA (LANG_LNC000422)". Lineage: Eukaryota; Viridiplantae; Streptophyta; Magnoliopsida; Fabales; Fabaceae. The record is from RNAcentral.